GCACGAUUAAUUACUGUAUAAUUUAUCAAUUCGGGUUUUUGGAAUUGCGUUAAAAACGACGUCUCGGUGCCAAUAACCAGGCGUCCUGCCAGACUUCGAAUACUUAAACUAAAGGGGACUGAUUGAAUCCCCCUAAAUAAGCAGGGGGACUUUGACCACUUGGUAUAUAGCGACCAAUUAAAUCCUAUGGCAUUGCAAUAUGCUAAUGAACCAACAUAAGAAAUAAUUAACGAGUAGGUACUGCUAAUUUAAGGUUGUACAAUAAUAUAAAUAAAACAAUAUGUUAAAACCGGGUGUAGUGCACAUCGCCGCAAGAUGUUUUUUUUUUUUCGUUUGAAACCUAGCGCCGUGUCUUAGUUGUUUUUCGACGUACGCUUGUGUGAUCGUCACCAUUACACAUUGGCCUAUUAGGGGAACUUCAUAUUAAAAGUACACCCAUUCUGAUUUUUUGAUCAAGUAUAUCUCGACGGGAUUUAGUGAUAGAAGAGUAGUUUUAACGCCAAACCAUUUGGCUUCGUGUCCCGCACAAGUCCCCUCCAUAGUUUAACACCGUAAAUCCCUUCCAAAGGAUAUAGCCUGGAAUUCGUCUGACCAUCGCCAAUCUUUGGAAACGAUCUCUAGAUCACCAAUCUAAACCACCCUUAUAAAAUUUAGUGUCAAUCGGAAUGGAUCGAAAAAAAUAAUUUUACUCUAAAGUAAUUGAUGGUGGGUCAGUAAUAUUUAACUUUUAACAUGAAGUGUCCUUGAUAGCCCUAUGUGUAACAGUGAACAUCACACUUGCGUACGUUGAAAUAUAAUCGAUACACGGC
This is a non-coding RNA of Cinara cedri, 809 nucleotides long. NCBI's taxonomy places the organism in Eukaryota, Metazoa, Arthropoda, Insecta, Hemiptera, Aphididae. The record is from the annotation of a GenBank genome assembly.